UGGUGGAGUGAUUUGUCUGGUUAAUUCCGUUAACGAACGAGACCACAGCCUGCUAAAUAGUCCGACAAACACUUUUGUGUUUGUAUUCGGAGCUUCUUAGAGGGACUGUCUGUAUCCAGCAGAAGGAAGUUUGUGGCAAUAACA
This 144-nucleotide ribosomal RNA is filed under the name uncultured eukaryote. RNAcentral's name for it is "partial 18S ribosomal RNA". It matches the Rfam family "Eukaryotic small subunit ribosomal RNA", at positions 1299 to 1458 of the family's 1831-position model. The record is from RNAcentral.